UACGUAGGGACCGAGCGUUGUCCGGAUUCAUUGGGCGUAAAGAGCUCGUAGGCGGCUGUUCAAGUCGAACGUGAAAACUCGGAGCUCAACUCCGAGCCUGCGUUCGAUACUGGACGGCUAGAGUCUGGUAGGGGGAUCUGGAAUUCCUGGUGUAGCGGUGGAAUGCGCAGAUAUCAGGAGGAACACCGGUGGCGAAGGCGGGUCUCUGGGCCAAUACUGACGCUGAGGAGCGAAAGCGUGGGGAGCGAACAGG
RNAcentral lists this ribosomal RNA (253 nucleotides) under uncultured bacterium. RNAcentral describes it as "partial 16S ribosomal RNA". It matches the Rfam family "Bacterial small subunit ribosomal RNA", at positions 524 to 776 of the family's 1533-position model. The record is from RNAcentral.